This 460-nucleotide ribosomal RNA is filed under the name uncultured bacterium. RNAcentral describes it as "partial 16S ribosomal RNA". It matches the Rfam family "Bacterial small subunit ribosomal RNA", at positions 338 to 795 of the family's 1533-position model. The record is from RNAcentral.
CCUACGGGAGGCAGCAGUGAGGAAUAUUGGUCAAUGGACGAGAGUCUGAACCAGCCAAGUAGCGUGAAGGAUGACUGCCCUAUGGGUUGUAAACUUCUUUUAUAAAGGAAUAAAACGAGGCACGUGUGCCUUUUUGCAUGUACUUUAUGAAUAAGGAUCGGCUAACUCCGUGCCAGCAGCCGCGGUAAUACGGAGGAUCCGAGCGUUAUCCGGAUUUAUUGGGUUUAAAGGGGGCGUAGAUGGGUUGUUAAGUCAGUUGUGAAAGUUUGCGGCUCAACCGUAAAAUUGCAAUUGAUACUGGAAGUCUUGAGUACAGUUGAGGUAAGCGGAAUUCGUGGUGUAGCGGUGAAAUGCUUAGAUAUCACGAAGAACCCCGAUUGCGAAGGCAGCUUACUAAACUGUGACUGACAUUGAUGCUCGAAAGUGUGGGUAUCAAACAGGAUUAGAUACCCGUGUAGUC